Molecule: non-coding RNA, 217 nt
Organism: Pelobates cultripes (western spadefoot toad)
Lineage: Eukaryota; Metazoa; Chordata; Amphibia; Anura; Pelobatidae
Source: the annotation of a GenBank genome assembly
GCACCAUGUUGGUAUACUCAGAUCAGGUAGCAUUGGGCGCCAUGUUGGUAGAGUCAAAUCAGGGAGCAUUGGGCACCAUGUUGGUAUACUCAGAUCAGGUAGCAUUGGACGCCAUGUUGGUAUACUCAGAUCAGGUAGCAUUGGGCGCUAUGUUGGUAUACUCUGAUCAGGUAGCAUUGGACGCCAUGUUGGUAGAGUCAGAUCAGGUAGAAUUGGG